AUUAUGGAGAGUUUGAUCCUGGCUCAGAGUGAACGCUGGCGGCGUGCCUAACACAUGCAAGUCGAACGAUGAAGUCUAGCUUGCUAGACGGAUUAGUGGCGCACGGGUGAGUAAUGUAUAGCUAACUUGCCCCUUACAAGAGGACAACAGCUAGAAAUGGCUGCUAAUACUCUAUACUCCGCUUUAACAUAAGUUAAGGUGGGAAAGUUUUUCGGUAAGGGAUAGGGCUAUAUUGUAUCAGCUAGUUGGUAAGGUAAUGGCUUACCAAGGCUAUGACGCAUAUCUGGUCUUAGAGGAUGAUCAGACACACUGGAACUGAGACACGGUCCAGACUCCUACGGGAGGCAGCAGUGGGGAAUAUUGCUCAAUGGGCGAAAGCCUGAAGCAGCAACGCCGCGUGGAGGAUGACACUUUUCGGAGCGUAAACUCCUUUUUUACAAGAAGAAUACUGACUGUAUUGUAAGAAUAAGCACCGGCUAACUCCGUGCCAGCAGCCGCGGUAAUACGGAGGGUGCAAGCGUUACUCGGAAUCACUGGGCGUAAAGGGCGCGUAGGCGGAUUAUCAAGUCUUUUGUGAAAUCUAAUGGCUUAACCAUUAAACUGCUUAAGAAACUGAUAGUCUAGAGUAAGGGAGAGGCAGAUGGAAUUAGUAGUGUAGGGGUAAAAUCCGUAGAUAUUACUAAGAAUGCCAAUUGCGAAAGCGAUCUGCUAGAACUUAACUGACGCUAAGGCGCGAAAGCGUGGGGAGCAAACAGGAUUAGAUACCCUGGUAGUCCACGCCCUAAACGAUGUAUGCUAGUUGUUGGAAUGCUAGUCAUUUCAGUAAUGCAGCUAACGCAUUAAGCAUACCGCCUGGGGAGUACGGUCGCAAGAUUAAAACUCAAAGGAAUAGACGGGGACCCGCACAAGCGGUGGAGCAUGUGGUUUAAUUCGAUUCUACGCGAAGAACCUUACCUAGGCUUGAUAUCUAUGGAACCUUUUAGAGAUAAGAGGGUGCUAGCUUGCUAGAACCAUAAGACAGGUGCUGCACGGCUGUCGUCAGCUCGUGUCGUGAGAUGUUGGGUUAAGUCCCGCAACGAGCGCAACCCACGUAUUUAGUUGCUAACAGUUUGGCUGAGCACUCUAAAUAGACUGCCUUCGCAAGGAGGAGGAAGGUGUGGACGACGUCAAGUCAUCAUGGCCCUUAUGCCUAGGGCUACACACGUGCUACAAUGGCAUAUACAAUGAGACGCAAUAUCGCGAGAUGGAGCAAAUCUAUAAAAUAUGUCCUAGUUCGGAUUGUUCUCUGCAACUCGAGAGCAUGAAGCCGGAAUCGCUAGUAAUCGUAAAUCAGCUAUGUUACGGUGAAUACGUUCCCGGGUCUUGUACUCACCGCCCGUCACACCAUGGGAGUUGAUUGUGCUUUAAGCCAGAAUACUAAAAUAGUUACUGUCCACAGCAAAAUCAGCGACUGGGGUGAAGUCGUAACAAGGUAACCGUAGGAGAACCUGCGGUUGGAUCACCUCCUUUCUA
This 1512-nucleotide ribosomal RNA is filed under the name Campylobacter canadensis. RNAcentral's name for it is "bacterial SSU rRNA". It matches the Rfam family "Bacterial small subunit ribosomal RNA". The record is from RNAcentral. Lineage: Bacteria; Pseudomonadati; Campylobacterota; Epsilonproteobacteria; Campylobacterales; Campylobacteraceae.